Long non-coding RNA from Panicum virgatum (switchgrass), 1241 nucleotides. RefSeq lists it as uncharacterized. The transcript has 2 exons. Lineage: Eukaryota; Viridiplantae; Streptophyta; Magnoliopsida; Poales; Poaceae. The record is from RefSeq and is a predicted model, not a curated record.
UAUAAUAUAGGAGUGCAAGUAGAUACAGAUAGACAAGGAAGGAACUAGGGUUGCUAGAGAAAGGGAGGGGAUUGGAAGGGAAUGCAGCCUGCCUUUUGCUCCACCCGACUCGAUUAUUCGUCUCGACGAUUCAUGGCCGCUGCGGCAGGAACUGCGCUCCUUCGAUCUGUGGCCACCAAGAUGAGUGGGGUGAUCGGUGGCCGCCGGUCUGGCCCAAUUGGCUCCCGCCACUCUUUUACUUCUUCCUCUCGCCCUAGCGCCGUCGACAACAUGGUAUGCUUUGGGUGUUGCUAAUUUUCAUUUUUUAUAUAAAUUAGUUGCCUUUUUUGAAUAUAUACACGACGCAUAAAGGAACAAUCUUUCUAACAAAAAACAUACUUUUGUUUUACGAUAUUAUAAAUUUUUUUGCUGUAUCAGUACUGUAUAUUUAUUCUAACGGGAAAUGAAAGAAAACAGAAAUCAUAGAUAUAUUUUACAUCUCCGUAUGUAUUCAAUAAUUAUAGGUUGUUUCAUGUCUUAUUAUAUUUUCUUCUUCUGCUGCUGCUGCUUCAUUCAGGACCCCUCUCAGAAUAAGAAUGUUCCGGAUCAAUUGCACAGGUAUGGACCCCUGCUCUUUCCUUCGAGGAUAUGCAAUUGUAUGAGGAAGCACGAACUUGUGUCCCACUAACUCGGCGCCGCUGCCCACAUGUCCUUAAUACAAAACCACCAACUAGUUCCUCCUAUGAAGCCAUAAUUUAUCAUGAUUUCUUUCUAGUUUUGGAGCUCCAAAUGUAUUCAUCAUAAUUGACAAUUUGUUGGUUGCAUUUGUGAUUUUCAGUGCAAAGUCUGCACCCAUGCCAACUGCAACCAAAUUUCUUUGCUUGUCCGUGCUUGUCACGUCAGCUUUUUUUUUUUCGGUUGGAUGAAACCGAGAUUGGAAGCAUUGAGCGACGAAAUGGCUGCUCUUCGUAGAGAGAGGUCAAUCCUUAUCAAAGCUGUGGAGGAGUGCCAAAGGACACACAUUAAAGCCCGAGAUGAUUCAUUCGAUCCUUCUCAAGCUCAAAUCACGCAAUCUUUAGGACAAGGUAAGGAGAGUGGUGGACGCGCUUAUUAAAUGAUCCUUGGAGCAAUGCAAGAAUUGACCUGAGAGGCAGGCUUACCUUUUUUAAAGAAGACUAGACAAUGUCACCUUGGUUAAGCUUUCCAUAAAAGGAGGUCCAGAUCCUUUGGUCUAAAACAAAAAUGUCACAUGGGUUAUGAUA